This 355-nucleotide transfer-messenger RNA is filed under the name Nitrospirales. RNAcentral's name for it is "UBA2166 sp012965905 Standard tmRNA". It matches the Rfam family "transfer-messenger RNA". From Rfam's summary of the family: Bacterial tmRNA, also known as 10Sa RNA or SsrA, is named for its dual tRNA and mRNA-like properties. Its role is to liberate the mRNA from a stalled ribosome. To accomplish this part of the tmRNA is used as a reading frame that ends in a translation stop signal. The record is from RNAcentral. Lineage: Bacteria; Pseudomonadati; Nitrospirota; Nitrospiria. RNAcentral also lists the same sequence under 2 other names.
GGGGGCGAUAGGCUUCGACGGGAACUAGUGGGUCAGGGCUGCAUGUCGAGGUCCUCGGGUCCUCGUAAAACACCUGGGGAAACAUUCAAUUGCCAACGAAGACUUGGCUCUCGCUGCAUAAUUAAGUAGCGACGUCCCUCAUUCGAUGUCUGUGCGAGUGAUCAGGAUGGCAUAAAGCAGGCUAGCCUGACUUUUGGGCUCCAGGGGAGAAGGGCGAAACCAUACUGGGCUAGCAACCGUUCUAAGCCGCGCUGCGGGGCGUGAACGGAAGCGAAAUUCAAUACUGCGGCUACACAUGUAGAUGUUCUGUGCUGACGGUUUUCGGACGCGGGUUCGAUUCCCGCCGCCUCCACCA